Molecule: ribosomal RNA, 459 nt
Filed under: Acanthamoeba sp. strain DP/5A
Lineage: Eukaryota; Discosea; Longamoebia; Acanthamoebidae
Description: SSU rRNA
Rfam family: Eukaryotic small subunit ribosomal RNA
Source: RNAcentral
GGCCCAGAUCGUUUACCGUGAAAAAAUUAGAGUGUUCAAAGCAGGCAGAUUCAAUUUUCUGCCACCGAAUACAUUAGCAUGGGAUAAUGGAAUGGACCCUGUCCUCCUAUUUUCAGUUGGUUUUGGCAGCGCGAGGACUAGGGUAAUGAUUAAUAGGGAUAGUUGGGGGCAUUAAUAUUUAAUUGUCAGAGGUGAAAUUCUUGGAUUUAUGAAAGAUUAACUUCUGCGAAAGCAUCUGCCAAGGAUGUUUUCAUUAAUCAAGAACGAAAGUUAGGGGAUCGAAGACGAUCAGAUACCGUCGUAGUCUUAACCAUAAACGAUGCCGACCAGCGAUUAGGAGACGUUGAAUACAAAACACCACCAUCGGCGCGGUCGUCCUUGGCGUUCGUGUUACGCACGAGCGCGAGGGCGGUUUAGCCCGAUGGCACCGGUGAAUGACUCCCCUAGCAGCUUGUGAGA